Non-coding RNA from Myodes glareolus (Bank vole), 497 nucleotides. Lineage: Eukaryota; Metazoa; Chordata; Mammalia; Rodentia; Cricetidae. The record is from RefSeq and is a predicted model, not a curated record.
CCACCCUCCAUGAAGCUGCCAGGUCAGACAUGCUGAAUCUUUCCCGUUUCUUUUUGAAGGAAGUGUUCGGAGGAAACCAGUUUCCAUACAGAAGAUAAUCCAGCAUCGUACUGAAACACUAUCAGAAGCACAGUCCCCUCACACCAUUUGAAGAAAGCCACCUCUGUCCCCAGCCCUGAUAUCUGGGAAGCCAACUCUCUACACUUCAGCCCUCCAACAUUCAGAUCUCACAGAUUCUGUCAAUCAGCUACAGCACAAACUCAGUAUCCUGUUUAUAGAUGAAUAUUGUCUCUGUUUAAGUUAGCUGUCAUGUUACCUUCACAGCCACGCUUACAGUCAGUGCCGCAGCCUGCUCAAGGACCCCACAUCUCAGAAAGAGGUCCUUUCCCAGCUCAGGAUUUUAAUGAAAGAGCCCCCUCCAGGGGACAUGUGUGCUUGACCUUUGACUGUUGCUGCAGUGACUGCGCUGAGACCAAUAAAGUAUGUGAUUCCUACAA